Molecule: ribosomal RNA, 466 nt
Filed under: uncultured bacterium
Lineage: Bacteria
Description: partial 16S ribosomal RNA
Rfam family: Bacterial small subunit ribosomal RNA
Source: RNAcentral
GAUGAACGCUGGCGGCGUGCUUAACACAUGCCAGUCGAACGGAAAGGCCCAAGCUUGCUUGGGUACUCGAGUGGCGAACGGGUGAGUAACACGUGGGUGAUCUGCCCUGCACUUCGGGAUAAGCCUGGGAAACUGGGUCUAAUACCGGAUAGGACCACAUUUUGGAUGGUGUGGUGGAAAGUUUUUCGGUGUGGGAUGAGCUCGCGGCCUAUCAGCUUGUUGGUGGGGUAAUGGUCUACCAAGGCGUCGACGGGUAGCCGGCCUGAGAGGGUGUACGGCCACAUUGGGACUGAGAUACGGCCCAGACUCCUACGGGAGGCAGCAGUGGGGAAUAUUGCACAAUGGGCGCAAGCCUGAUGCAGCGACGCCGCGUGGGGGAUGACGGCCUUCGGGUUGUAAACUCCUUUCGCUAGGGACGAAGCGUUAUGUGACGGUACCUGGAGAAGAAGCACCGGCUAACUACGUG